This 75-nucleotide transfer RNA is filed under the name bacterium. RNAcentral describes it as "tRNA-Asn". It matches the Rfam family "tRNA". Rfam says of the family: Transfer RNA (tRNA) molecules are approximately 80 nucleotides in length. Their secondary structure includes four short double-helical elements and three loops (D, anti-codon, and T loops). The record is from RNAcentral.
UCCGACGUAGCUCAGUGGUAGAGCAACCGGCUGUUAACCGGUUGGUCGUAGGUUCGAUCCCUACCGUCGGAGCCA